This 501-nucleotide ribosomal RNA is filed under the name uncultured bacterium. Its description in RNAcentral is "bacterial SSU rRNA". It matches the Rfam family "Bacterial small subunit ribosomal RNA", at positions 15 to 507 of the family's 1533-position model. The record is from RNAcentral.
GAUCCUGGCUCAGGAUGAACGCUAGCGGCAGGCUUAACACAUGCAAGUCGUGGGGCAGCGCGAGGUAGCAAUACUUUGGCGGCGACCGGCAAACGGGUGCGGAACACGUACGCAACCUUCCUCAGAGCGGGGAAUAGCCUCUCGAAAGAGAAGAUUAAUACCCCAUAGUAUCUCGGAUUCACAUGGAUCUGAGAUUAAAGCUCCGGCACUUUGAGAUGGGCGUGCGGCUGAUUAGGUAGUUGGUAGGGUAACGGCCUACCAAGCCAACGAUCAGUAGCUGAUGUGAGAGCAUGAUCCCCCACACUGGUACUGAGACACGGACCCAGACUCCUACGGGAGGCAGCAGUGAGGAAUAUUGGUCAAUGGGUGCAAGCCUGAACCAGCCAUCCCGCGUGAAGGACGACUGCCCUAUGGGUUGUAAACUUCUUUUGUAUAGGGAUAAACCUACCCUCGUGAGGGUAGCUGAAGGUACUAUACGAAUAAGCACCGGCUAACUCCGUG